RNAcentral lists this ribosomal RNA (498 nucleotides) under uncultured bacterium. Its description in RNAcentral is "partial 16S ribosomal RNA". It matches the Rfam family "Bacterial small subunit ribosomal RNA", at positions 30 to 523 of the family's 1533-position model. The record is from RNAcentral.
AUUGAACGCUGGCGGCAUGCCUUACACAUGCAAGUCGAACGGUAACAGGUCUUCGGGUGCUGACGAGUGGCGAACGGGUGAGUAAUACAUCGGAACGUGCCCAGACGUGGGGGAUAGCUCGGCGAAAGCCGGAUUAAUACCGCAUAAGCUCUGAGGAGGAAAGCGGGGGACCGUAAGGCCUCGCGCGUUUGGAGCGGCCGAUGGCAGAUUAGGUAGUUGGUGGGGUAAAGGCUUACCAAGCCUACGAUCUGUAGCUGGUCUGAGAGGACGACCAGCCACACUGGGACGGAGACACGGCCCAGACUCCUACGGGAGGCAGCAGUGGGGAAUUUUGGACAAUGGGCGAAAGCCUGAUCCAGCAAUGCCGCGUGCAGGAUGAAGGCCUUCGGGUUGUAAACUGCUUUUGUACGGAACGAAAAGGCGCCUACUAAUACUGGGUGUUGAUGACGGUACCGUAAGAAUAAGCACCGGCUAACUACGUGCCAGCAGCCGCCGUAA